UUACCUUCGGGUAUUGAGGAUGGCGGACGGGUGAGUAACGCGUAAGGAACUUGCCUCUUGGUCUGGGACAACUGUUGGAAACGACAGCUAAUACCAGAUAUUAUGAGAUUCUCGCAUGAGAAACUUAUGAAAGCUAUAUGCGCCAAGAGAGAGCCUUGCGUUCCAUUAGCUAGUUGGUGGGGUAACGGCCCACCAAGGCGACGAUGGAUAGCCGGCCUGAGAGGGUGAACGGCCACAAGGGGACUGAGACACGGCCCUUACUCCUACGGGAGGCAGCAGUGGGGAAUAUUGGACAAUGGGCCACAAGCCUGAUCCAGCAAUUCUGUGUGCACGAUGAAGGUCUUCGGAUUGUAAAGUGCUUUCAGUUGGGAAGAAGAAAGUGACGGUACCAACAGAAGAAGCGACGGCCAAAUACGUGCCAGCAGCCGCGGUAAUACGUAUGUCGCAAGCGUUAUCCGGAUUUAUUGGGCGUAAAGCGCGUCUAGGCGGAAAAAUAAGUCUGAUGUUAAAAUGCGGGGCUCAACUCCGUAUUGCGUUGGAAACUGUUUUUCUAGAGUACUGGAGAGGUGGGCGGAACUACAAGUGUAGAGGUGAAAUUCGUAGAUAUUUGUAGGAAUGCCGAUGGAGAAGUCAGCUCACUGGACAGAUACUGACGCUAAAGCGCGAAAGCGUGGGGAGCAAACA
RNAcentral lists this ribosomal RNA (684 nucleotides) under uncultured bacterium. RNAcentral's name for it is "bacterial SSU rRNA". It matches the Rfam family "Bacterial small subunit ribosomal RNA", at positions 74 to 774 of the family's 1533-position model. The record is from RNAcentral.